Molecule: ribosomal RNA, 601 nt
Filed under: uncultured fungus
Lineage: Eukaryota; Fungi
Description: eukaryotic LSU rRNA
Rfam family: Eukaryotic large subunit ribosomal RNA
Source: RNAcentral
AGCAUAUCAAUAAGCGGAGGAAAAGAAACCAACAGGGAUUGCCCUAGUAACGGCGAGUGAAGCGGCAAAAGCUCAAAUUUGAAAUCUGGCACCUCUGGUGUCCGAGUUGUAAUUUGGAGAGGCAUCUUCCGGAGGGGUCCAGCCUAUGUUCCUUGGAACAGGACAUCACAGAGGGUGAGAAUCCCGUUCAUGGCUGGAGAUACCCUUCAGUAGGUAGUGCUUUCUACGAGUCGAGUUGUUUGGGAAUGCAGCUCAAAAUGGGUGGUAAAUUUCAUCUAAAGCUAAAUAUAGGCGAGAGACCGAUAGCGCACAAGUAGAGUGAUCGAAAGAUGAAAAGCACUUUGAAAAUAGAGUCAAACAGUACGUGAAAUUGUUGAAAGGGAAGCGCUUGAGACCAGACUCAGCCUUGGGCAAACAGCCUUCCUUCUGGGUGGUGCACUUGCCCUUGGCUGGGCCAGCAUCAGUCAGGACGGUGGAAUAAAGACCUGAGGAAUGUGACUCCGCUCAGGAGUGUUAUAGCCUCGGGUGUCAUCCUGCCUGCCCUGACUGUGGACCGCGCUUCGGCUAGGAUGCUGGCAUAAUGGUCUUUAGCGGCCCGUCU